GACGAACGCUGGCGGCGUGCUUAACACAUGCAAGUCGAACGGAAAGGCCUCUUUCGGGGGGUACUCGAGUGGCGAACGGGUGAGUAACACGUGAGUAACCUGCCCUUUACUUUGGGAUAACUUCAGGAAACUGUGGCUAAUACCGGAUAUGAGCUCCUGCUGCAUGGUGGGGGUUGGAAAGUUUCGGCGGGUGGGGGUGGACUCGCGGCUUAUCAGCUUGUUGGUGGGGUAGUGGCUUACCAAGGCUUUGACGGGUAGCCGGCCUGAGAGGGUGAACGGCCACAUUGGGAAUGAGAUAAGGCCCAGACUCCUAAGGGAGGCAGCAGUGGGGAAUAUUGCGCAAUGGGUGGAAGCCUGAUGCCGCAAAGCCGUGUGCGGGAAGACGGCCUUCGGGUUGUAAACCGCUUUCGCUCAUGACGAAGCUUUGUGUGACGGUAGUGGGUAAAGAAGCACCGGCUAACUACGUG
Molecule: ribosomal RNA, 467 nt
Filed under: uncultured bacterium
Lineage: Bacteria
Description: partial 16S ribosomal RNA
Rfam family: Bacterial small subunit ribosomal RNA
Source: RNAcentral